This 571-nucleotide ribosomal RNA is filed under the name uncultured Glomeromycotina. Its description in RNAcentral is "SSU rRNA". It matches the Rfam family "Eukaryotic small subunit ribosomal RNA", at positions 548 to 1114 of the family's 1831-position model. The record is from RNAcentral. Lineage: Eukaryota; Fungi; Glomeromycota.
UUGGAGGGCAAGUCUGGUGCCAGCAGCCGCGGUAAUUCCAGCUCCAAUAGCGUAUAUUAAAGUUGUCGCAGUUAAAAAGCUCGUAGUUGAAUUUCGGGAUUGACACAUCGGUCGUGCCUUAAGGGGUAUGAACUGGUGUAGUCAAUUUCUCACCUUCUGGAGAACCGCGAUGCCCUUAAUUGGGUGUCACGGGGAACCAGGACCUUUACUUUGAAAAAAUUAGAGUGUUUAAAGCAGGCAUUUUGCUUGAAUACAUUAGCAUGGAAUAAUAAAAUAGGACGGCAUGAUUCUAUUUUGUUGGUUUCUAGGAUCACCGUAAUGAUUAAUAGGGAUAGUUGGGGGCAUUAGUAUUCAAUUGUCAGAGGUGAAAUUCUUGGAUUUAUUGAAGACUAACUACUGCGAAAGCAUUUGCCAAGGAUGUUUUCAUUAAUCAAGAACGAAAGUUAGGGGAUCGAAGACGAUCAGAUACCGUCGUAGUCUUAACCAUAAACUAUGCCGACUAGGAAUCAGACGGUGUUAAUUUUUUAAUGACUCGUUUGGCACCUUACGGGAAACCAAAGUGUUUGGGUUC